This 491-nucleotide ribosomal RNA is filed under the name uncultured Alphaproteobacteria bacterium. Its description in RNAcentral is "bacterial SSU rRNA". It matches the Rfam family "Bacterial small subunit ribosomal RNA", at positions 385 to 896 of the family's 1533-position model. The record is from RNAcentral. Lineage: Bacteria; Pseudomonadati; Pseudomonadota; Alphaproteobacteria.
GAUGCAGCGAUGCCGCGUGAGUGAAGAAGGCCUUUGGGUUGUAAAGCUCUUUCGUCGGGGAAGAAAAUGACUGUACCCGAAUAAGAAGGUCCGGCUAACUUCGUGCCAGCAGCCGCGGUAAUACGAAGGGACCUAGCGUAGUUCGGAAUUACUGGGCUUAAAGAGUUCGUAGGUGGUUGAAAAAGUUGGUGGUGAAAUCCCAGAGCUUAACUCUGGAACUGCCAUCAAAACUUUUCAGCUAGAGUAUGAUAGAGGAAAGCAGAAUUUCUAGUGUAGAGGUGAAAUUCGUAGAUAUUAGAAAGAAUACCGAUUGCGAAGGCAGCUUUCUGGAUCAUUACUGACACUGAGGAACGAAAGCAUGGGUAGCGAAGAGGAUUAGAUACCCUCGUAGUCCAUGCCGUAAACGAUGUGUGUUAGACGUUGGAAAUUUAUUUUCAGUGUCGCAGCGAAAGCGAUAAACACACCGCCUGGGGAGUACGACCGCAAGGUUA